AGAGUUUGAUCCUGGCUCAGGAUCAACGCUGGCGGCGUGCCUAACGCAUGUAAGUCGCACGCAGGGCCUUCGGGUCCUGAGUGGCGAACGGCUGAGGAACACGUACGAAUCUGCCCGUUUGUGGGGAAUAACGCGCCGAAAGGCGUGCUAAUACCGCGUACGCUCAUCGCAAGAUGAGGAAAGCCGCAAGGCGCAGACGGAGGGGCGUGCGGCCCAUCAGGUCGUUGGUGGGGUAAUGGCCUACCAAGCCGGUGACGGGUAGCUGGUCUGUGAGGACGAUCAGCCAGACUGGGACUGCGACACGGCCCAGACACCUACGGGUGGCAGCAGCGAGGAAUCUUCUACAAUGAGCGCAAGCCCGAUAGAGCAACGCCGCGUGGAGGACGACGGCCUUCGGGUUGUAAACUCCUUUCAGGGGGGAUGACACUGACAGUACCCCCAGAAGCAGCCCCGGCUAACUCUGUGCCAGCAGCCGCGGUAAUACAGAGGGGGCAAGCGUUGUCCGGAUUUACUGGGCGUACAGCGCGCACAGGCGGCCUGGUACGUGCCGUGUGACAUACGGAAGCUUAACUUCCGGGGGCCAUGGUAGACGACCCGGCUGGAGGCAGGGAGAGGGAUGUGGAAUACCCGGUGGAGCGGUGAAAUGCGUAGAGAUCGGGUGGAACACCAGCGGUGAAGGCGGCAUCCUGGCCCUGACCUGACGCUGAGGCGCGAGAGCGUGGGGAGCGAACCGGAUUAGAUACCCUAGUAGUCC
Molecule: ribosomal RNA, 754 nt
Filed under: uncultured bacterium
Lineage: Bacteria
Description: bacterial SSU rRNA
Rfam family: Bacterial small subunit ribosomal RNA
Source: RNAcentral